RNAcentral lists this unclassified non-coding RNA (1099 nucleotides) under Bifidobacterium sp. 119. RNAcentral describes it as "partial 16S-23S ribosomal RNA intergenic spacer". The stretch from base 1 to 653 matches the Rfam family "Bacterial small subunit ribosomal RNA", at positions 988 to 1533 of the family's 1533-position model. The record is from RNAcentral. Lineage: Bacteria; Bacillati; Actinomycetota; Actinomycetes; Bifidobacteriales; Bifidobacteriaceae.
GACGAUGAUCUGAUCACGUACGUGAUCGAUGACGUCAGUCGUCGACUACGGUAGCAUCGCUGGAUACGCGCAGCUACCAGAUGACCGGUCCGCAGCGCGAGCAUCGAUAUCGAUGCACGGAGACUUACUGACUGACAGUACGACGAUUCAGAGAUUGGUGCUCGGCCGUUCACAGUUGUGCAUGUCGUCGUCAGCUCGGUCGUGAGAUGUGGUAGUCCGCACGAGCGCACCUCGCCGUGUGCAGCGAUGAUGCCGGGACUCACGGGGACCGCCGGGUACUCCGAAGAAGUGGGGAUGACGUCAGAUCAUCAUGCCCCUUACGUUCAGGGCUUCACGCCUGCUACCAUGGCCCGUACCACGGGAUGCGACAGCCGGAGCCGGAGGCGAUUCCUGAAAACCCGUCUCAAUUCGGAUUGCAGUUCUCCACUUCGCUGCCUGAAGGCGGAGUCGGUAGUAAUCGCGAAUUAGGCACGUCGCGGUGGAUGCCGUUCCGGGGCUUGUACCCCCCGGCCGUCCAGUCCAGGAAGUUGGCAGGCACCGGAACCGGUGGCCUUACCCCCUGCGGGAAGGAACCGUUUAAGGUGAGGCUUGUGAAUGGGGCUAAAUUGUAACCAGGUAACCGUUCCGGAAGGUGCGGCCUGAUCCCCUCCCUUCUUCGGAGAAUUCGGCCGGAAGUUUGUUCGGCGGUGCGUUCCCCGGGGUUGCGGCCGUUGGGGCGGUUUGGGGGUGGUGGUGUGGAAGAGAUCCAGGGCCUUUGGGGGCUUCGUUGGGGGGAGGUUCGGGGGAGGGGGGGGGGUGGGGUUUUUGGCUUCCGGAUUGCCCCCCCCGGCCUUGUGCCUGGCGCGAUUCGAUGCCCAUCGUGCCUGAUGGCGGGCUGGUCCCGUCCGGACGGCGUGGUGGUGCGUGGUGGCUUGAGAACUGGAUAGUGGACGCGAGCAAGACGGGGUUUCCUUUGAUUCCUCGUUCUUGCUGUUGAUUUCGAAUCGAACUCUAUUUUUAGUGUUUGUUUCGAUCGUUUUGUGAUCAUUUUAGUGUGAUGAUUUGUCGUCUGGGAAUUUGCUAGGAAGGAUCCUUGCGGCCAUGCGCACCGUGUGGGCCU